Molecule: ribosomal RNA, 440 nt
Filed under: uncultured bacterium
Lineage: Bacteria
Description: partial 16S ribosomal RNA
Rfam family: Bacterial small subunit ribosomal RNA
Source: RNAcentral
CCUACGAGUGGCAGCAGUGGGGAAUAUUGCACAAUGGGGGAAAGCCUGAUGCAGCGACGCCGCGUGAGUGAAGAAGGAUUUCGGGAUGUAAAGCUCUAUCAGCAGGGAAGAAAAUGACGGUACCUGACUAAGAAGCCCCGGCUAACGACGUGCCAGCAGCCGCGGUAAUACGUAGGGGGCAAGCGUUAUCCGGAUUUACUGGGUGUAAAGGGAGCGUAGACGGCCAGACAAGUCAGAAGUGAAAGCCCAGGGCUCAACCCUGGGACUGCGUUUGAAACUGGCGGGCUGGAGUGCAGGAGAGGUAAGCGGAAUGCGUAGUGUAGCGGGGAAAUGCGUAGAUAUUAGGAGGAACACCAGUGGCGAAGGCGGCUUACUGGACUGUAACUGACGUUGAGGCUCGAAAGCGUGGGGAGCAAACAGGAUUAGAUACCCGAGUAGUC